UGAAAUAAAACUGAUAGGUUGCUGCUGGCUCUCUAGGGAGCAUGUGCACACUUGUCGUCUUUAUUAUAUCUCCACCUGUGCACYUUGUGUAGACUGUGGAUGUAUCUUUCUGAGUGGGCUGUGCCUAUCUUAGGUUGUGAGGAUUUUGACUGUAUUGUCUAUCCUUGUCAUGUCCAGGUCUAUGUUCAUUCAUACACUCUUAAUUAUAGAAUGUAAUCAAUAGACCUUUGUGUCUAUAAACCUAUAUACAACUUUCAGCAACGGAUCUCUUGGCUCUCGCAUCGAUGAAGAACGCAGCGAAAUGCGAUAAGUAAUGUGAAUUGCAGAAUUCAGUGAAUCAUCGAAUCUUUGAACGCACCUUGCGCUCCUUGGUAUUCCGAGGAGCAUGCCUGUUUGAGUGUCAUUCAUAUAUCAGCCUCGUCAACUUUUGUUGUUUGUUGAGUGUUGGAUGGUGGGGGCUGCUGGGUCUACUUACUUAGUGGGUCAGCUCCUCUGAAAUGUAUUAGCAGAACAAUUUGUUGAUCUGUUCAUUGGUGUGAUAAUUAUCUACACUAUUGACGUGAAGCAGGUUCGGCUUCUAACAGUCUAUUAACUUGGACAAGUUCAUCAAUGUGACCUCAAAUCAGGUAGGACUACCCGCUGAACUUAAGCAUAUCAAUAAGCGGAGGAAAAGAAACUAACAAGGAUUCCCCUAGUAACUGCGAGUGAAGCGGGAAAAGCUCAAAUUUAAAAUCUGUCAGUCUAUGGCUGUCCGAGUUGUAAUCUAGAGAAGUGUUAUCCGCGCUGGACCGUGUACAAGUCUCCUGGAAUGGAGCGUCAUAGAGGGUGAGAAUCCCGUCUUUGACACGGACUACCAGGGCUUUGUGAUGCGCUCUCAAAGAGUCGAGUUGUUUGGGAAUGCAGCUCAAAAUGGGUGGUAAAUUCCAUCUAAAGCUAAAUAUUGGCGAGAGACCGAUAGCGAACAAGUACCGUGAGGGAAAGAUGAAAAGAACUUUGGAAAGAGAGUUAAACAGUACGUGAAAUUGCUGAAAGGGAAACGCUUGAAGUCAGUCGCGUUGUCCAGGGAUCAACCUUGCUUUUGCUUGGUGUACUUUCUGGGGGACGGGUCAGCAUCACUUUUGACUGUUGGAAAAAAGUCAAGGGAAUGUGGCAUCUUUGGAUGUGUUAUAGCCCUUGGUUGCAUACAAUGGUUGGGAGUGAGGAACUCAGCACACCGCAAGGCCGGGUAUUACUUUACCACGUAUGUGCUUAGGAUGCUGGCAUAAUGGCUUUAAUCGACCCGUCUUGAA
RNAcentral lists this ribosomal RNA (1289 nucleotides) under Phlegmacium cyanites. RNAcentral describes it as "eukaryotic LSU rRNA". The stretch from base 613 to 1289 matches the Rfam family "Eukaryotic large subunit ribosomal RNA", at positions 1 to 658 of the family's 3401-position model. Lineage: Eukaryota; Fungi; Basidiomycota; Agaricomycetes; Agaricales; Cortinariaceae. The record is from RNAcentral.